Molecule: long non-coding RNA, 847 nt
Filed under: Triticum aestivum (bread wheat)
Lineage: Eukaryota; Viridiplantae; Streptophyta; Magnoliopsida; Poales; Poaceae
Description: long non-coding RNA (TAES_LNC021738)
Source: RNAcentral
CGUUCAUCCAUUUCUUCAAUAUAAUGAUAGGAAUUAUGUAAACAUGUGGACACAUAAAAGAUGGAUCUAUACUACUAUUAAACAAGCAAAUAUAUUCAUUGCUAAGUACACACAGCCUUACGUACACACAACAACACGAACCAAUUACAGCCGCAUGAUCAGCGACACUUAAUUUAAUCUAACCAUUAAAAUUAUAUUAACCCACGUCACAAGUGCGUUUAGCCAUUUGUCUAGGCGGACGAAAACUCUGUCGAGAAAGUUCCCCGCCCCGCAUCCCGUUCGUGUAUCCUAUAAACUAGGAAACAAACACCGCGAGAAUAAAUAAGGCGUUCGAAAAAGAGAAAGAAAAUAACUACCAUGCAUGUGGAGGAGCAAUCAGUGAAAACUUACCACACAGUAGAACAGGGUCGCAUGCACCAGGUAAUUAUUGUGCUCCCGCUAAUCAAGGUAGAAAACGAAAAAAAAUUAAAGCAAAACCAUCUUGGAUAUUCGUCCUGCAAAUACGACGCCUUAAUACGAACAAAGGCGUGGCCCAGCGGCUCUUCACGUUGCUCACCGGUGCAGCGAACAUGUUCGCCACCGACGUCCACGCUGCCGUGGGCAGGAGCCCGGACCGUUUGCGCUACUGGCACAUCUUCUCGACAUGGUAUUCCACGGCCGAUGCGGUAAAAAAAUGAUCUCUUCAUUCAAUUGGACAAGAACCUUUCCGCCGCUGUUGAGGAAGUCUUCAAGCUUCUCGGUCAUGCGUGCGAUGCCUUCUCCUCCGGCCCCUACGACGCCGCAGUCGUCUCCCAUCGUGCAGGAUUAGUUCCGAUCGCGCCACUCGGCGAAGCCGCUCGCGUCCGAG